RNAcentral lists this ribosomal RNA (1169 nucleotides) under Bactrocera umbrosa. RNAcentral describes it as "partial 16S rRNA". Lineage: Eukaryota; Metazoa; Arthropoda; Insecta; Diptera; Tephritidae. The record is from RNAcentral.
AUUAGUUUUUGUUUAUUAAUUUAUUUAUGUUUUUUAAUUAAUGUAUUAAAAAUAAUUAUAUAGUUAAGUGUUUUAGUAAUUUUUAAUGAAAAAAUAAUAUUAAUAAUAGUUGAUUAGUAUUGUGAAAGAUGGUUGAAAUAUUUUGAAAAAUUUUUGUAAAAAAAGAAAAUUUAGUUUAUUGUACCUUGUGUAUCAGGGUCUAUUAAAUAAUUAAUAUUAAUAAUAUUAAUCUCGAUUUUAUAAGAGUUAAUAAUUUAUGAAAGUUAAUGUGUCAAAAUUAUUUUGAAUAAGUUAUUAGAAAUGAAAUGUUAUUCGUUUAUAAAGGUAUCUAGUUUUUUUAGAAAUAAAUUUAAUUUACAAAUUUUUGAUUUUUUAAUUAUUUAUUUAAUUGAAAAAUUUAUUUAUUUGAAUAUUUUAAGGGAUAAGCUUUAAGAUAAAUUAUUAAAAAUUAAUAGAAUGGUGUAUAAAAUGUAGGCUUAGAAUUAGCAAUCGUUGUAAAGUUUGUUAUAAUUUAUUUUAUAAAUUAUAUUAUUUAUUAUAUUUUAAUUUAUUUAUAAAAAUUUUUUUAUUAAUGGAGUAUAGAAAGGAAUAAUGAUAGAAUUAGUAUAUUUAUUUGUAAAUAUAAUUUUUUAUAUGACAAGUUUAUGUAAAGAACUCGGCAAAGAUUUUACUCGCCUGUUUAACAAAAACAUGUCUUUUUGAGUUAUUUUAAAAGUCUGACCUGCCCACUGAAUUUAUUUAAAUGGCCGCAGUAUUUUAACUGUGCAAAGGUAGCAUAAUCAUUAGUCUUUUAAUUGAAGGCUGGUAUGAACGGUUGGACGAAGUAUAAGCUGUUUCAUGUAAAUUUAUAAUAGAAUUUUAUAUUUUAGUUAAAAAGCUAAGAUGUAAUUAAAAGACGAGAAGACCCUAUAAAUCUUUAUAUUUUAUGUUAUUUAAGUUUUAUGGAUUUUUUUUAUUUUUUUAAUUUAAAAUAUUUUGUUGGGGUGAUAUUAAAAUUUAAUUAACUUUUAAUUAUUUAAAAUCAUUAAUUUAUGAAUUAUUGAUCCGUUAAUAGCGAUUAUAAGAUUAAGUUACUUUAGGGAUGGACAGCGUAAUUUUUUUGGAGAGUUCUUAUCGAUAAAAAAGUUUGCGACCUCGAUGUUGGAUUAAGAUAUAUUUUAGGUGUAGCC